UAAACAUAGACAGUUCACACACUCCACUGUCCGCCCGGGAACUACGAGCAUUAGCUUAAAACCCAAAGGACUUGGCGGUGCUUUAUACCCCCCUAGAGGAGCCUGUUCUAGAACCGAUAAUCCCCGUUCAACCUCACCCUUCCUUGUUCUUUCCGCCUAUAUACCGCCGUCGUCAGCCUACCCUGUGAAGGCCUUAUAGUAAGCAAAAUCGGCACAGCCCAAAACGUCAGGUCGAGGUGUAGCGUAUGGAAGGGGAAGAAAUGGGCUACAUUCCCUAUUACAGGGCAUACGAAUGAUUUCGCUGAAACGCAUAUAUGAAGGAGGAUUUAGCAGUAAGCAGGAAGUAGAGUGUCCUGCUUGAACCGGC
Molecule: ribosomal RNA, 367 nt
Filed under: Pomacanthus annularis (bluering angelfish)
Lineage: Eukaryota; Metazoa; Chordata; Actinopteri; Pomacanthidae
Description: partial 12S ribosomal RNA
Rfam family: Bacterial small subunit ribosomal RNA
Source: RNAcentral